Molecule: ribosomal RNA, 490 nt
Filed under: uncultured bacterium
Lineage: Bacteria
Description: partial 16S ribosomal RNA
Rfam family: Bacterial small subunit ribosomal RNA
Source: RNAcentral
AUUGAACGCUGGCGGCAGGCCUAACACAUGCAAGUCGAACGGUAACAGGAAGCAGCUUGCUGCUUUGCUGACGAGUGGCGGACGGGUGAGUAAUGUCUGGGAAACUGCCCGAUGGAGGGGGAUAACUACUGGAAACGGUAGCUAAUACCGCAUAACGUCGCAAGCCCAAAGAGGGGGACCUUAGGGCCUCUUGCCAUCGGCUGUGCCCAGAUGGGAUUAGCUAGUAGGUGGGGUAACGGCUCACCUAGGCGACGAUCCCUAGCUGGUCUGAGAGGAUGACCAGCCACACUGGAACUGAGACACGGUCCAGACUCCUACGGGAGGCAGCAGUGGGGAAUAUUGCACAAUGGGCGCAAGCCUGAUGCAGCAAUGCCGCGUGUAUGAAGAAGGCCUUCGGGUUGUAAAGUACUUUCAGCGGGGAGGAAGGGAGUAAAGUUAAUACCUGUGCUCAUUGACGGUACCCGCAGAAGAAGCACCGGCUAACUCCGUG